CCUACGGGAGGCAGCAGUGGGGAAUAUUGCACAAUGGGGGGAACCCUGAUGCAGCGACGCCGCGUGAGUGAAGAAGUAUUUCGGUAUGUAAAGCUCUAUCAGCAGGGAAGAAAAUGACGGUACCUGACUCAGCAGCACCGGCUAACUACGUGCCAGCAGCCGCGGUAAGACGGCGGGGGCAAGCGUUCUCCGGAUUUACGGGGUGGAAAGGGAGCGUAGACGGCAGAGCAAGUCUGAAGUGAAAGCCCGCGGCCCAACUGCGGGACUGCUUUGGAAACUGCCCGGCUAGAGUGCUGUAGAGGGGAGCAGAAUGCCUGGUGUAGCGGUGAAAGGCGUAGAGAUUAGGAGGAACACCAGUGGCGAAGGCGGCUUACUGGACUGUAACUGACGUUGAGGCGCGAAAGCGUGGGGAGCAAACAGGAUUAGAGACCCGUGUAGUC
This 440-nucleotide ribosomal RNA is filed under the name uncultured bacterium. RNAcentral describes it as "partial 16S ribosomal RNA". It matches the Rfam family "Bacterial small subunit ribosomal RNA", at positions 338 to 795 of the family's 1533-position model. The record is from RNAcentral.